CAAAAAACAUUGAAAUUUAGGACUAACAUUGUGUAAUUUAUUUCUUUUCAGGUACCCCCGCCAGAAGGACGGAAGCAUCGAGUCGCUGAGGAGCCUAAGGAGUCAUCACAGAUGCAAAAUGCCGGUCGUCAGCUGUCAUUGCAUUUUUACUGAGCUGCUGGCAUUAUGGUGGUGGCGUUCGUCUCGUGGCAGAGAAGUCGUCAGUGAGGAUUGUAGCUCGGUCUAUCACCGAGGAAAGCCAGGUGCGCCGCGUCUUGUGGCCAUAGCGUCAGGAUUGGCAGCUUGGGGCCGCCGGUUCGAGAUUUUUUGCAGGGGGCCGCCGCAACGUGAUAGGCAUGGAAAUUAAUGUAAGAAUUGUAUUUGGUACAUUGAGUGGAAUUUAAUUUAAGG
Drosophila mauritiana is the source of this 390-nucleotide long non-coding RNA. RefSeq lists it as uncharacterized. The record is from RefSeq and is a predicted model, not a curated record. Lineage: Eukaryota; Metazoa; Arthropoda; Insecta; Diptera; Drosophilidae. The transcript has 3 exons.